Molecule: RNA transcript, 2706 nt
Organism: Macadamia integrifolia
Lineage: Eukaryota; Viridiplantae; Streptophyta; Magnoliopsida; Proteales; Proteaceae
Gene name: KIN17-like protein
Exons: 5
Source: RefSeq, a predicted model, not a curated record
AGGGAGGUAAUAAGGGUUGUAGCCCCGAGAGAGCGGCUAGUCUGCAACAAUGGUGGUGAAGCCGAGCAAAGGUGGAAGAAAAGAGGAGGUGGUUACUAGGGAGUACACCAUCAAUCUACACAAACGUCUCCAUUGAUGUUGAGGCUGAGGUGUUUAUUCUUUGAAGAUUUUUGAAAUUCUUCGUCUUCUUUGCUGCGAAAUCGAAUGGGAAAGAACGAGUUUCUCACGCCCAAGGCCAUUGCCAACCGAAUAAAAGCAAAAGGGCUUCAGAAGCUCCGAUGGUAUUGCCAGAUGUGCCAGAAACAAUGUAGAGACGAGAAUGGAUUCAAAUGCCAUUGUAUGAGCGAGUCUCACCAGCGGCAGAUGGAAGUCUUUGGCCAGAAUCCUAACCGUCUCAUUGACGGUUACUCUGAGGAAUUCGAGAGGUCUUUUGUUGAGCACAUGAAGCGGAGUCACCGUUUUAGCCGUGUUGCAGCUACUGUGGUCUACAAUGAGUAUAUCGCCGAUCGCCACCACAUCCAUAUGAACUCCACACAAUGGGCCACCCUCACUGAGUUCGUUAAGCACCUCGGUCGUACUGGUCAGUGCAAGGUUGAAGAGACGCCAAAGGGUUGGUUCAUGACCUACAUUGACAGAGACUCGGAGACCCUAUUCAAGGAACGUCUCAAGAACAAGAGAUUGAAGUCCGAUGUCGUAGAGGAGGAGAGGCAGGAGCGAGCAAUUAGGAAACAAAUUGAACGGGUUGAACAGUCAAUGUUCUCAUCAACAUCAGAAAAUGAAAUAGGGCCCUCUGAUUCUGAGCAAUUGUAUUUGCCACCCAAGACAGAACUCAAAUCAGAAACUGGAGCUAAAGUUGUGUUUGCUAUCAGUUCAUCUUCAAAAUUUGUUGCAAGAGAGAAUGUUGAAAGCUCUGAAGUGAUCUUUGAAGAGUCUGAAACAGAUAGGAGUGAGAAGAGGAUUAAAUAUGGUGGCAAUGGAACAAAGAGUGGUGGUGGUUCAGCUCUGGAUGAGUUGAUGAAAGAGCAAGAGAAGGCAAAGGAGCAGAGUAAUCGCAAAGACUAUUGGUUAUGUGAGGGAAUAAUUGUUAAAAUAAUGAGCAAAGCAUUGGCUGAGAAAGGUUACUAUAAGCAGAAGGGUGUGAUUCGCAAGGUGAUUGACAAGUAUAUAGGAGAGAUUGAAAUGCUGGACAGUAAACAUAUUCUGAGAAUUGAUCAAGAGGAACUUGAAACUGUGAUUCCCCAAAUUGGGGGUCUAGUGAGAAUUGUGAAUGGGGCUUACUGUGGUUCGAAUGCAAGACUGAUUUCUGUUGAUACCGAUAACUUUUCAGCGAAGGUGCAAAUUGAAAAGGGGUUAUAUGACGGAAGGGUUCUUCAAGCGAUUGAUUAUGAGGACAUUUGCAAGAUUGUUCAGUGAGGCUUUCAUACGUUGACCAUUAUGGACCCUUCUUCUGUGUUUCCUUGUUUAUGCGGGGAGUACGCCGAUCAUCCACCUUGAAUUUGCGGAUUCCACUUUGGUCGCAUUCAAGUAGCACCAAAGUGGUAUUAAAUGUGCAGAAUUUAGAUUUACCUCAAUCAGAGUUAAAAGCAUGACAAAAAUAGUGGUUGGUAACUCUUAUGUUCCCAGGACCAGGUAAUUUCCUUUCAGUGAUGAGACUGUGGGUGUUGGAGACAAAUUGACCCUUCAGUUACCCAUUAGUCUACAGACAGAGGCCAUACAAGAUGAUCGACCUGAGCACGCUUCUAUCCAGGCAAUCCUUUAUGGGCCCUACCUUCUAGCAGGUCUGACUAUGGCGACUGGGACAUUAAAACAGGAACAGCAAGCUCCCCCUCGGACUGGAUAACAGCAAUCCCGAAAGCUUAUAAUUCUCAGCUGAUCUCUCUUUCCCAGGUGGCCGGCAAUGUGACAUUUGUCUGGACGAGACAUUUGUCUUGAUGAACAUAAACAAUGUUAUCGCAAUGGAGAAGUUGCCAGAAUCAGGCAGAGAUUCUGCUGUCCAUGCCACCUUCAGGCUCAUCUCCAAUGACAUGAGUUCCUCCCAUUUCUCAUCACCAAUGGAUGCUAUUGGAAAAUCUGUUAUGCUAGAGCCAUUUGAUCUUCCUGGGAUGGUGGUUCAACAAGGACCGAAUGACGACCUCACUGUGGCAAGCGCUACUAUUGAGAAGGGUUGUCCACUUUUUGGGUGGUGGCUGGAUUAGAUGGGAAGGAUAACUCAGUUUCCUUGGAGUCAGAGAGCCAUCAGGGAAGUUUUGUUCCUAAUGGCCUGAACAGGUGCCAGUCAGAGACGGCAGAUGCUGGAUUCCAGCAACCAGUCAGUUUUAGCAUGAAUAGUGGUAGGAGUGAACAUCAUCCCAUCAGCUUUGUUGCAAAAGGUGCAAGCCGGAAUUUCUUACUGAUGCCAUAGCUGAGCUUGAGAGAUGAAUCUUACACUGUUUAUUUCAACAUCAGACCUUAGGUCUGGGUAGGCUAGAGGUGUUCAGUGCCAGAAUAGAAGUCUUCUUGGUCAAAUAAUUAUAAUUUUCCUUUCCUUUCUUAGAUUUGUGGGGAGAGGGUUGUGCUAGAUUGGCCGUUUGGCUCUGAGUAGGGUUUUGUUUGCUUUCUUCAAAUCUCUGGUCUAACCUAUUUCCAAAUUAUUGUUAAACCUCCUUGGGUAUAAGCAUCACUGUUGUUUAAAACAUUACCGUCUGAUCUUACAACUUCAUUUAUUCA